Long non-coding RNA from Gavia stellata (red-throated loon), 449 nucleotides. RefSeq lists it as uncharacterized. The transcript has 3 exons. NCBI's taxonomy places the organism in Eukaryota, Metazoa, Chordata, Aves, Gaviiformes, Gaviidae. The record is from RefSeq and is a predicted model, not a curated record.
ACUAAAUUACGAAGAAAAGACACAUUAUUUUGUCAUUGUUCAAGCAAAUGACUGAGGACAGAAUCUUAAUGAGCGAAGGACAAGUACAACCAGCCUGACAGUAGAUGUGCUCGAUGGGGACGAUGUGGGACCAAUGUUUCUUCCCUGUGUCUUGGUGAAUAAUACUUGUGACUGUAGACCUCUCACCUACCAAGCGAGCUUGCCAGAACUGACUGAUCCUGCCACCCAAGACGGUCUUGAAUCGCUCCACUCCAUCCAUUUCUGCUCUUCCAGUAAAAGGCUCCAGCACCUGCUCACAGCUGCAAUGAGAGAGGAUCAGCAGCUACCCCACAAGCCAGGACAGGAGUGUGCAAGUGCAGACCCGUUGUAAAACAAAGAGUGGGACUCAGAAGAAAGACUCCACUGAGAGGCCACUAACAGUCAAAAGCUCAAGAGCAGCAAAAGGCAGG